Molecule: long non-coding RNA, 4652 nt
Organism: Mercenaria mercenaria
Lineage: Eukaryota; Metazoa; Mollusca; Bivalvia; Venerida; Veneridae
Exons: 3
Source: RefSeq, a predicted model, not a curated record
CAUGCCCCAUCAGUUGGAAUUAAGCAUUUGCAAGUAAGAGAAUAGGUUUGUGAUUGCUGGCUUUGCUUCAUGGGCCCUUUAUGUAUACAGGGACAACGAUAGCCGUCCUCCAAUCUUGUGGAACACUGCUGAUACCAAGUGAAGACAUGUAAAUUUUAGUCUCAUUUUUAUAGAGGAGCAGUGUUUAAGGUGUUUAAGGUGUGGGCGGACAUUGUGUUGUAAGCUGUUUUUUGUUUUUGUUUUUUGUUUAUUCCCCUUCUGAUGAAUCUAAGUGAAUUCUUUGCUUUUGAUGUGAUGUUAUCAACAUAUUCUGACUAAAUGAGAUACAUUGUGUACAUUUAUUUACUUAGUUUUAUGCUCAGAUAUUUAGCAGCGUCUUUCAGUGUGAGAGAGAGAGAGAGAGAGAGAGAGAGAGAGAGAGAGAGAGAGAAGACUUAUUAUUGUCAAUAAUUAGUUCUAGUCUUAUCAACCGAAAUAUGAAAGAAAAAGUAAGCAUAUUACAUGAUACUCAAACGAUGAUGUGAACUUCUAUAGAUGACAUUUUUAUUUUUCACACUUACUGCAUAUGUGUCAUACGAUGACAACUAUUUUGCCUGCAGAUAUAAAAUUAGCCUUUUUCUAUAUUCGAAAUCAUUUCCUGUUUAUGUGCGACUGAAAAUUAAAGAAAAGUAAAGAAAUCGGUUGAAAACAUAUCAGUUGAAUGACUUCAAUACAAUGUAAUACAAAACUGCCGUACGAAAACCACCUGCGGUUUAUUUCACUAUUCAUACGGGACCGUACGAUUAGCCCACUUCCUUUAGCGUAGUCACGGACGUAUCCGAAUGAUGGCAGUUGUGUCACUGAAACCGAAAGUAACGUUUUUUAUAUCCGCCUCCAUCGGUGGAAUCUGUCAAUUUACAGAUCACAAUUGAGAACUAUCUUUGUAAAUCAGACUAGCUGUACAUCAUAGGGUAAGGCGGAGGAUGCAUAUCCGGAGUAUGCAGAAAAUUUGGAAAAAUUCAAAGACAAAAAGAUCAAUGGGAAAUUGAUUCCACAACACAUUGUAGACUACUGUGAUGCAGCAAAGGAAUACAGAGACAUAAACUUGACAGCUGCAAAUAUUUCUGUUGAAAUAACGGUUAAAAUAGGAGACAAAAAAAUUAAAAAUGAGGAACUCAAUAAAAUUCUAGAUGUACCUAAAAAGCAAAUAGUAUCACAAAUUCAGAAAUUUUUUUCCAAAAUUUGCUAUGAAGAAUAGGUUUAAAAGAAGAUUGUGCAAAUGAGAAUUUUUGUGCAGCCCCCCCCCCCACCCAUGAGUGGUGGGGGUAUAUAGAUUUGGUCUUGUCCGUGCAUCCGUCUGUCCGUCCAAAGUUCGUGAUGUACCUAGCUCGUAAAGUAUUUGAUAUAAAUUGAUGAAACCUUGCAGGAGUCUUUAUCAUGAUACGAACUUGCGCACCUCCUAUUUUUCGUCUGGCUCGGCCCUCUAUUUUCAGAGUUACAGCCCAUGAAAUAGUAAAAAAUGCACAUUUUUACCAUGUGACACGCCUAGCUCAAAAAGUAUUUGAUAUAGAUUCAUGAAACCUUGCAUGAGCCUUAAUCAUGAUAUGAACUUGCGCACCUCCUAUUUCUCAUCUGGCUCCGCCCCCUAUUUUCAGAGUUAUGGCCCCUGAAAUAGUCAAAACUGCCUUCACGACCCCCUGUAUUUAGCGACUCCUUGUCAUAUGCGACCCUAUUUUAUGCUCCAGACGCAAUUUACUAUUAAAAGAGUCUGAAUUAAGCAACCCCCUGCCUUAUGCGACAAGCGACUGUGAAAUCAGGCUCCCGAAUCGAUAUUUAGACUGUUUUCAGCGACUUUGAGACGCUUCCUCACAAGAUUUUACACGAUAGAGUUACCGUUCUUUAUCUCGCGUGAAGUUGUUUGAGACGAGAACUUAUUUGUUUACAAAAAAUGGCUUUUGAAAAACAUAAACUAGAAUGUGUCUGUAGGACACAGGGUGUGCCCCCUACUGGUACAUUUGUCACAAAUAAGGGGAAAUCAUUCAAAUGGUUGCAUAUGCAUAGAAUAUGGGUCAUCUUUAAUAAAAAACUAGAUCACUAGGUCAAAUCAAAGAAAAACCUUGUGUAUAGGGUAAAAACUGUAUUUAUGUCUCCCGCCACAGUGGUGUGGGAGACAUAUUGAUUCACUCCAGUCUGUGUGUCUGUCUGUCACAAAGCUGUCCGCACUCUAAGUUGAUAAUUUCUCAUCUGAUUUUCACCAAAAUUUAACAACAUGUGUUUGAUCAUGAGACCUCGGCCAACUUUGAUAACUAGUCAAAUCGGUCAAGGCAUAUUGGAGUUAUGGCCCUUGAAUUACCAAAAAUCAGGCUAUUUACUCUUGUCCGCAUUCUAAGUCGAACAUUUCUCAUCCGAUCUUCACCAAACAUUAACAAAAUGUGUUUGACUAUAAGAUCUUGGCCAAGAAUCAGUUCAGGCAUUUUGGAGUUACGGCCCUUGAAUUACCGAAAAAUUGGUCUUUUUGCUCUUGUCCGCACUCUAAGUAGAACAUUUAUCAUCCGAUCUUAACUUUACCAAAAUGUGUUAGACCAUAAGACCUCGGCAAAGUUCGAUAACUAGCCAAAUCAGUCUUGGCAUUUCGGAGUUACGGCCUUUGAAUUACCGAAAAAUCGACCUUUUUACUCUUGUCCACACCCCAAGUAAAACAUUUCUUAUCCAAUCUCCACCAGACUUUACCAAAAUGUGUUUGACCAUAAGACCUCAGCAAAGUUUGAUAACUAGCCAAAUCGGUCUAAGCAUUUCGGAGUUAGGGCCCUUGAAUUACUGAAAAAUCGGCCUUUUUACUCUUCUCUGCACUCUAAGUCGAACAUUUGUCAUCCAAUCUUCACCAAACUUGAACAAAAUAUCUUUGACCAUAAAACCUUUGCCAAGAAUCGGUUCAGGCAUUCUGGAGUUACGGCCCUUGAAUUACCGAAAAAUCGGUCUUUUUGCUCUUGUCCGCACUCUAAGUAGAACAUUUAUCAUCAGAUCUUAACCAAAUUUGAACAAAAUGUGUAUGACCAUAAGACCUCGGACAAGUUUGAUAAUGAGCGAAAUCGGUCCAGGCAUUUUGGAGUUCUAGCCCUUGAAUUGUACUGAGUAAACAGUAUAUAAAGACGGACUUGCUAUUUAGAUGAGCCCCAUGUGGUUUUUGGACGAUUUUUGUAUGAAAAGAAUUGGAACCACCGCCUUACCCUUGCAUGAUUGUAAGUGGCAACUAAUAGGGUCUUAGCAAUUGGUUUUGCAGUAACUCUAUGAUUCCAGCAGGUAUGCAAAUUUUGAUUCUAUACCCCAUAUUUUUAUUUCGAUGUAAAUGAGAUGUGGAACCAAAAUUUGUAGUCCUGUUUGGUGCCAUAUACCCUAUUACUGUAAGGAAUUCGUGGAUUUCAACUUUUGAAGAUAAAAUGAAUGGGAAUUUUACGUGUUCAUUGGGAUUAAAUUUUGUGGAUUGACUCAACCACGAAAUCCACGAAAAUUAGUCCCCCACGAAUAUUAAUGAUUUCACAGUAUGUGUUGGUGUGCCGUAAAACUUUUCUCCAAAGCAGCUCUAGUUUUCAAUUGAUCUUCAUGAAAAUUGGUCAGAUUGAUAGCCGUGGUGAAAUUAAGGUCAAGUUUGAGUAUAGUUAAACUGUCAAAAACUAGGCUGCUAACACAAAUCAAAGAAAAACGUUUUGUAUGCCAUGGAGGCUGUAUUUUUAAAUUGAGGUUUAUGAAAUUUGGGAAUUAAAUAUCACCUGGCACCUAUGUUCCCCUUCAUGAGACAACAUGUCAUGCACAAAAUCAGGAUCCCUGGCUCAAAGGUCAAGCUCAACAGGGCUUUUUUCAUGUCCGGUCCAUAACUCUGCAGUCCAUUAAGGGAUCUUAAUAUUACUUGGCACUAAUGUUCCCCAGGUUAACACAGCACGUAAUGUGCAAAACACAUCAAAAUCUCGGAGGUCAAACAUCAAAAGGGUUUUUCUGCUAUCCCGUCCAGAACUCUGUCGUCCAUCAAGGGAUCACAAUAUUACUUGGCACAAAUGAUCCCGAUUAUAAGAUCAAAGGUCAAUAGGAUUUUUUUCCUGUGUGAUCUAUAACUUUGUCAUGCAAAAAUAUACCCUGGGACGAGACAACAUGUCAUCCGCAAAACCCGAGUCCUUGGUCUAAAGUCACACUUAGUGGCCAAAUGUCAGAUACAAAAAUGACUUUGUUCAUAGCAAUUUCUCUUCAAGCAUGGAGGGAUUUGGUGUAACUUGGCAAAAACGUACACUACUGUAAGAUUGAUUGUAUUAUGCACAAGAACUAGGUCCCUAGGUGUAAGGCCAAGGUCACACAAGAUCAAUUUAAGAAUGACUUCUUCCUGAGCAUCUUUCAUUCAUGGAGAAAGUUUGAUGUAACUUGGCACAAAUGUUCCGUUCCCUUAUUGUUACUAUCAAUGGAGGAUAUUCUUACAUUUUCAUUACUGGCUGUACAGCAAAAUCAACACCACUUUUAUGUGGUACAGCAUUGAUGUUAAAUAGACAUUUCAGGUGUAUUUUGACCUAUCUAUAGUUGGAAAAGAGUUUUGUGUGGAAUUAUGAUCGAUUUUUUUUGGAUUAAUUCCAUUUUAUUGUUACUAUAAAUAACUUAUAUGACAGCUGGCAAAAAAUUCAAUAUGAAAUCAA